CAAACCGUGACGCAGAGAGAAAUAAACACUACUCAAAAGAUAACAACCCACAAAGACAAGUGGAAAAAAAACCUACUUAAAUAUGAUCUCCAAUUAGAGACAACGAGGACCGGCUGCCUCUAAUUGGAGAUCAUCCCCCAAAAAAAACAUAGAAAUAGAAACCUAGAAUAACCACAUAGAAACCCACCCAAAAACACCCCCUGUCAUGCCCUGAUCUACUCUACUAUAGAAAAUGACAUCUUAUAAGGGUCAGGACGUGACAGCUAGCUCCUAAUGUUACCUAGCUAGCUAAAUGAUGUUUGCCAGCUAACGUUAACCAGCUAUUGGAAGUGGCCACAUAGCUAACAUGCCAGAAUGUUAGCUAGCUAGUAGUAGUUGACAAAGGAAAGAGGACAUCCUACCUGAAAUAUGUUUAAGUACGAAUAUCAGGUAAAUCUUUGUUUAACAAAUCUUUAAUUUACAGAACAUACGGUAGCUAGCUAGCUGUCAAACACUCACUGUUUGUGUCAAGAAAACUGAUGGCAUUUGUUUCCUUCAAAGGGUGGAGCUGCUUUAGAGAUCUUCAGUAAGGAAAAGAUCCUGUUGCGAAAUGGAAACUUUCUGGAGGACAAUCAGCUAUAAAUAAAGUGUCUGACAAAGAGGUCAAGGGCUUUGUGUACAUUAUGGAUGGUAGCAGCCAAACUAUUAAAAAAAGAUGCCAUAAGAAGUUACAAUGGCUCUUGGGCUGGUACAGAGAUUCUUGGUCCUCCAAGUGAAUGUUUUCCCAAUGUAAAGACUUCUCCACAGAGAUUG
This 792-nucleotide long non-coding RNA is filed under the name Salmo salar (Atlantic salmon). RNAcentral's name for it is "lncRNA (ENSSSAG00000085377.1)". Lineage: Eukaryota; Metazoa; Chordata; Actinopteri; Salmoniformes; Salmonidae. The record is from RNAcentral.